Astyanax mexicanus (Mexican tetra) is the source of this 246-nucleotide long non-coding RNA. RefSeq lists it as uncharacterized. The record is from RefSeq and is a predicted model, not a curated record. The transcript is spliced from 2 exons. NCBI's taxonomy places the organism in Eukaryota, Metazoa, Chordata, Actinopteri, Characiformes, Acestrorhamphidae.
GCAGCGUGAGAUGUAUCCUUUGCGGCGAAGGCAAUCCCAUGAUGCAUUUCACCAGCUCAGAGUUCCAGCGCUCAGAUUUAAAAACAUGGCGGACGGAGCCGGCCUGCCACGGAGUUUCUGUACAAAUGGAUGAACGUGGGCCGGGGAAGGUGAACUCUGGUCAGACCGGCUGGAGGCAGCGUUAGCUCCCUUUAUGAAUAUAUAUUUUUUUCUUUGAAUGUAAUAAAGUUUUCUCUCUUAACAUUA